GGACCCGCACAAGUAGUGGAGCAUGUGGUUUAAUUCGAAGAUACGCGCAGAACCUUACCAACACUUGACAUGUUCGUCGCGACUUUAAGAGAUUAAAGUUUUCGGUUCGGCCGGACGAAACACAGGUGCUGCAUGGCUGUCGUCAGCUCGUGUCGUGAGAUGUUGGGUUAAGUCCCGCAACGAGCGCAACCCUCACUUUUAGUUGCCAUCAUUAAGUUGGGCACUCUGAAAGAACUGCCAGUGAUAAGCUGGAGGAAGGUGGGGAUGACGUCAAGUCCUCAUGGCCCUUACGUGUUGGGCUACACACGUGCUACAAUGGUUAGGACAAAGAGUCGCGAGUUCGCAAGAACCAGCUAAUCUCGUAAACCUAGCCUAAGUUCAGAUUGUAGGCUGCAACUCGCCUACAUGAAGUUGGAAUCGCUAGUAAUCG
RNAcentral lists this ribosomal RNA (430 nucleotides) under uncultured bacterium. Its description in RNAcentral is "bacterial SSU rRNA". It matches the Rfam family "Bacterial small subunit ribosomal RNA", at positions 917 to 1344 of the family's 1533-position model. The record is from RNAcentral.